GAGUAAAGGACAGAAUGCUGUGGUGGAGAUUCAAACACAGAGGCCUGUGGCUCUGGAGCUCUACAAGGACCAUAAAGAACUGGGGCGCUUCAUGCUGAGAUAUGUGGGCUCCACCAUUGCUGCUGGAGUUGUCACAGAGAUCAAAGAGUAAGAACCAUUUGGAACUGGAUCCUCCCGAAAAAACUGGGCGAAACCUCUGGACAGAAGUGCAAUUCCCCCUCAGAGCUACAGUAACACAAACACAUACACACAGAUGCCCACCAGGCAACAUCUAGCCACAGUUCAUUUCACAUUUCACCCGGCUAAAGGCCCUAGAAUGAGCAUGAAUGUUUGUGUGUGUGUGAGAGAGACUGCAUUUUGUCCUGCUCCUCAACUUGCAGUAUACAAUUUGAUCUGUGUAGUAAUUCAUCCAAAAUUUCAACUCAAACCCUCCUAAACACACCCUCCUCACAACAAACUGAACUCAUUUUCUUUUAUAAUUUUUGACUAUAUUAUGGCAGCACAUAAUGAACAUUUAGUCUUGGUUCAAAUGGAAGAUUUUUAAGGUUACUUAAUAUGAUUAGUUAAGGAUGUGUACAUUUGUAAAAGGGAAAAUAGAAUAAACAACACAACUGGCUGAUCUCAUCUCCUCCAUCAAUUUCUCAUGCAAGCAGGACAGUGUGAGUGAAACCUGCCCUUCCAUUGCUGCUACUCUGUCUUGACCAUUAAUGAGAAAACAGAAGGAUUGAGAACUAGUGGACAUGCUUGAUAUGCUGUGGAUGUGGGAGAAACUCAUCCGCGGGUCUGUAAUCUAACAGUAAUCACUUUAAGGACCUAACGGACAUGACUCUUACUCGUCUGUUUUUGACUUGAUUAUUAAGGGGUUUUAAUUUGAAGAAUAUUUUGUUUGGGUUUCUCGAAACUGAAGUUGUUCAUUUGGGGGAAAGCUGCUUCAUCAGAAAAAUAAAGAAAAAUAUUGAUCACUGUGGAAAA
Molecule: long non-coding RNA, 972 nt
Organism: Sinocyclocheilus anshuiensis
Lineage: Eukaryota; Metazoa; Chordata; Actinopteri; Cypriniformes; Cyprinidae
Exons: 2
Source: RefSeq, a predicted model, not a curated record